Lolium rigidum is the source of this 2744-nucleotide long non-coding RNA. RefSeq lists it as uncharacterized. The transcript has 2 exons. The record is from RefSeq and is a predicted model, not a curated record. NCBI's taxonomy places the organism in Eukaryota, Viridiplantae, Streptophyta, Magnoliopsida, Poales, Poaceae.
AAGAUGCUUCCACUAUAUUACAUGAUUUUUUCAGCAAAAACACAGUGUAGUUGGAUGAUCAAACGGUACUGUAAGAAAUAAGUUUAUCCAGUGUGUAGUGGCCAUUACGUGGCUGCAGGGCACAAAUAAGCAAUUCUUUUUAUUCUUAAAAUAAAGAUGUUUUAUUUUGUAGAAAAUUAUCAUUAUUGGUUAGAACUUUUGCCUCAUGGUUCCCUGUAGAGAUCUACAACAAAGUAAAAUGAAACGUUGAUGUAUGUUUAGUUGUUUACAUCUUGAGAGAGCAACUAUUGUCUGUGUACCGCCCCCUUAAAAAGGGGGAAAUUGGCUAGGUAAUUUACCAAGUAGAGUGCAACAAAACUUGAAAAAAAAAUGAUCAAAAUUGUGACAUUGAUGUAGACAAAACAUCAUUGAAUCUACUAUCUCGACCAUGUUGUGUCAAAAUGAGAUGCAGCCGGUGCGGCAAAGUGCACAUAUUCAUCUAGUUAACAUUAUGCUUAUGUGAUGUCAAAAGGAGUAGAUGUUGCCAUUGGCCGUUUAGCUUAUAUUUCGCCUAGGGGAGCACAUUUCCUUGUUAUGCAAGAGGUUGAGCUCCAUAUCGGGUAGUAUCAUGGCGUUGGUGUUCUACUUCCUUGUUUGAGCCUAGCACUCACGAAAUUUCUAUGCUUUAUUUAGGAGUUCUUGUUCUUGGCUUUUAGGUGGUACAGCUGCAGUUCUUCAUCUCAAGCUGGUCCUGGCUCUCGAUCUAUUUGUUUUAGGCAUCAGCACCCAUUUGUUAGAUUUUUCCAGGGUUAUGCAUGCACGCAAGUAGGAUAUAGCUGCCACCUCUAGUAGAAGCACGGAGUAUUCAGAUUACAUGGCACACACAUGCAUUUAGUUAAAAAACAUAAACGUUCAGACAUUUGCACUUUGGAGGGGGCUAGUGGAACCAUUGAGUCUGGUGUAGAAAGAGUGAUGAAAACUUCCAUAUAUUCCCCGUUGCAAUGAACCCAACCUUCUUAUUAGAAUUAUUUUUCUAGCUAGAUUUAACACCAGUCCUGCCCCACCUCAGGCUAUGCUUUUGUGUCAUAAUAGAACCUAUAUAUUCAGUUAUUUGGCUCAUUUGUUGUGAAUUUUGUAUUGUUCCUUGUGUACUUGUAUCGGUUAUAUAUUCCUUUCAACUUUAGCUUUAGCAUGGUUUAUGCCCCAUUACAAUUGGUCCAUGCUUGCUUAGUUGAUUUCUCAUUGUCAGUGGACUUCAGAACAAACUAGAUUUUGCAGUUGCAUGAGGCAAGCCAUUUUCUUUGUUGUGUGGGUAUCAGCCUACAAGUAGAUGUGCCUGGCGCUGUUGUCACCGUAUCAUCUACUUACGUGUUGCUUCAGUAAUGAAGUAACUAGUGUGUUUAUUAUUCUAGGUUUGAAGAUAAAUCUCUAUUUAGAGAUAGACGAUGGGCUUCUAUGAAUAGCACCGGCCCAUGGUUGAACCCUGAGCCUAACUGUUGCAAGUAUACUAUACUGAACUAUUUACCAGUGUUUUUUUGCAACAUUGAUCAAUGUCUUUGUUGGUUUCUUGUUAUGCCGCUAACAAGGCUAAAUAUAACCAACAAUGAAUUAAUGCUCGGUGAACUUGUUACUUGUGGGAUUGAUGAUUUUUUUACAUGCAGAAAUAUUUUGUGGGGUCUGACCACCCCCAACUGGAUUCGAUACAUGUGUUUAGUUAAUACUUGAAAAUGUGACAAGCAAUUUAAAAUGACGAUCAUAAUCCUACACCACCUUGAAUUUAGAAUGAUUGACAAGCAAUUUGUCAUCCUUAGUGAUUACUAAUAUAUUUUGACAAGAUUUUAGCCAUGAUGGCUGAUAUUUUUGCAUAAUAAUAUUAAGAUUUAGACUUGGGAUGCUAAUUCUAGGACAGGAUAAGCAACACGAUCAUGUUUUCCCAGAAUUGGUUGUAUUUCAUCCUUUCAUGGUUCAAAUGCCAUUCUGAUCAUAUAUAUUAUAAAUAUUCAUCUUUGACUAAGCUUUACAAUUUAGAGUUUUCAUUUGUUCUGAAUAGAACAAUAUUUGAUGCAAAUUACAUUGGUCACGUGCAAGUAUCAUUUGAGUGUUGCAUGACUCUGGUAAAUAUUUGUGCAUCUCAAAAUGAACUUUUUUGUUGUUACUUAUGCUAUAACUGUAGCUGCUAAUAUUUUUGUCAUCCUGUUAUCUGUCAAUAAUUUAUGGUAUGUUUCAGACUGUUCUUUUCUUUCUAGCAUAUCUUACGAUAUUUAUCAUGGUUUACUUGUGCUUCUAGGGCCUUGAGAUAUGUUACGACAAAGCUGUUUAAUCAGGUAUUUGCUUCGGUCCCGGAAGAUAUGAGAUGUCAUGAAGAACUAUUUGAGAAGGUGUCUUUGCUACAGCAGUUUGUACGUCCUGAAAACUUGGAUAUAAAACCAGAAUAUCAUAAUGAAACAUCAUGGCUGCUAGUUGAAAUUGUCGCCCCCUAAUCACAUGCUAGUUUAAUCAACCGCACCAGCAGAAGAUAACUUUGACAUGACUCUCCAAGCUGUUACUUGAGACCCCCAACGUGAUUGCAAUUAUAGCGCACCGAGCUUCUCCUGUUCCAGCUUGAAGUGAUGUAGCACAUGGAAUUAUUUGUUUUCUGCUUUAUAUUGUUCUACGGAAUACUGUGCUUCCAACCCUGUACACUCAAACAUCUGAUUUGGAUGUUAAAUACUGUGAUGGUACUGGUAUUCCAGAUUAUUUACUGUGGUGAUUAUGUUUUGGUUCUA